This 370-nucleotide ribosomal RNA is filed under the name uncultured bacterium. RNAcentral describes it as "partial 16S ribosomal RNA". It matches the Rfam family "Bacterial small subunit ribosomal RNA", at positions 338 to 722 of the family's 1533-position model. The record is from RNAcentral.
CCUACGGGAGGCAGCAGUGGGGAAUAUUGGGCAAUGGGCGCAAGCCUGACCCAGCAACGCCGCGUGAAGGAAGAAGGCCCUCGGGUUGUAAACUUCUUUUUUCAGGGACGAAAAAAGUGACGGUACCUGACGAAUCAGCCACGGCUAACUACGUGCCAGCAGCCGCGGUAAUACGUAGGUGGCAAGCGUUAUCCGGAUUUACUGGGUGUAAAGGGCGUGUAGGCGGGACUGCAAGUCAGAUGUGAAAUUCCAGGGCUCAACCCUGGAACUGCAUUUGAAACUGGAGUUCUUGAGUGAUGGAGAGGCAGGCGGAAUUCCGGGUGUAGCGGUGAAAUGCGUAGAUAUACGGAGGAACACCAGUGGCGAAGGC